AUUGAACGCUGGCGGCAGGCUAACACAUGCAAGUCGAACGAGUGGCGGACGGGUGAGUAAUGCGUGGGAAUCUGGCUUAUGGAGGGGGAUAACGACGGGAAACUGUCGCUAAUACCGCGUACCAUAGGAUGAGCCCAAGUGGGAUUAGGUAGUUGGUGGGGUAAAGGCCCACCAAGGCGACGAUCAGUAGCGGGUCUGAGAGGAUGACCCGACACACUGAGACGGGACCACUGCCCAGACUCCUGCGGGCGGCAGCAGUGGGGAAUUUUGGACAAUGGGCGCAAGCCUGAUCCAGCCAUGCCGCGUGUCUGAAGAAGGCCUUCGGGUGGGAAAGAACUUUUGUCAGGGAAGCGGUACCUGAAGAAUAAGCACCGGCUAACUACGUGCCAGCCGCCGCGGUAAUUC
RNAcentral lists this ribosomal RNA (405 nucleotides) under uncultured bacterium. Its description in RNAcentral is "partial 16S ribosomal RNA". It matches the Rfam family "Bacterial small subunit ribosomal RNA", at positions 29 to 526 of the family's 1533-position model. The record is from RNAcentral.